GCCUGUGCACUGGGAGCCGGGCGUGGGCCGGGGGCCGCGGCCGGGUGCAGCGGCGGGCGGUGCGGGGGAGGGUGGGCGCGGGCCGCGUGCAGCGGUGGGCAGGCGGGGCAGGGCGGUGGCGCCGAGCCCUGGGGCGCGGUGAGCCCGAUCCCGCUUCCCGAGGUGCGGGUUCCGGGCCGCGGUUCCCCUGCGCCGGCCCCGCCGCCCCAGACUUUGAUCCUGCGAGCUGGGUGCACGUGGGGGCGGCUGGGUGACAGGUCGGCGCCCAGGAGGGGCGGGGAGUGCGGGCUGUGCGGGCAGCGGCGGGGGGCGCGGCCGAGCGAGGAGCCGAGUUAGGGGACUGGUUUGCUAGCGGCACAACCCCAGCCUGGGGAAGGAACACUUUCCAUCCAGGGGGAUCACCCUCAGGGCCACCUCCCCAGGGCAACCGUGUGAAGUCAGCCUGUCGCUGACACUCUUUAGGUGUGGGGUGCUGACUUGGGGCGGGAGCCUGCUGCGUGACUUGGACAAGUCACCUAAUCUCGCUACACCUGUUUCUUCAUCAAUAGAGGGAAGGGUUGGGCAAGUGGAACUCUUCUGCUUCCUUCUAGCUAAAAUUCCAAGGCUCUGUGAUUUCACACUAUUUAUGGGUUACAAACCUCCGAACACUUGUGUGGGCUGUUUGGAGGGGGAGGGGCGCCCGGAAUACAAAAGAACGGUGGAUGUGUGCACAUCUAUGUGGGUAAAGUUCUCCCAGAGUGGAGGCUGUAGUCAUCAGCCUCUGUUGGGCCGCCAAACCAGCCGAAGGGACCCCCUAGGUACCAGCUAUUGCACUGAGAUAUGCAUGGCUCAGUGUUCUUUUGCAUGAAAAGAUUUCUUUUAGUUUCAUUUGGUUUUUCUAGACAGUUUCUGUGAGUAAACCCCCGGCUGUGCUGAAACUCCCUCUUUAGAGCAGGCUAUCCUCGAACUCAGAGCUACAGCUGCCUCUGCCUCCUGAGUGCUGAGGUUAAGGUGUUUGCCACCACCGCUCGGCGAAAGCUCCUAUUCCAAGACUGCCUCUCACUUUGUACACCGUGUUCUCAUCACAGCACCCAGACUGGAAAGCUAGGUGGGUCCUCGGUUUCCAACAUCAUAGGGGAUUAAAUAGAACCUGGUGAUUGACUGGAUAUUGGGCAGCAAGAGGAGGAUUAACAGUUACGUUUCGAAGCCGGAAUAAUGAAAACAGAGCCCAAGUUCUUCAGUGAUGGCAGAGAGUUAAGGUGCCAGCACCUUUUAUAGCCAAGGCUCGCUCACUGGAAGCAUUUAGGAGCUCAGGCAUAAUGGCUCGGAGGCUGAGGCAGGAGAGAGUUCUAGGUCUGCGUGAACCACAGAGUGAGUUUGAGGCUGGCCUGAGCGACUUACUAAGAAGAAAUCGUGCACAGAGAAGUUUGGAGGCGGCUUGACGGUGCACUGCUCACCUACUGCCAUUAGCCUGGGGUCCCCAGCACCAGAAAAACAAGCAUCUGUGAAUUUUGGGUUACAUUUAUCUGUAAGCACACAUGAAUGUAGAGGUCCAAGGACAACGCUUAUGAUUUGGUUCUCUCCUUUUACCAUAAGGACUCCAGGGGUUGAACUUGGGUUGUCAGUCUUGGUGGCAGGCAUCUUUACCCACUGAGCCAGCUUGGUCACCCUGUGCUUUAAGUGCCCUGCUACUUAACACCAGAUGCAGGUGAAGGCUCAGGUCAUCUUAAGGAUGGAGUGCUCACACUUCUUUGGUCAUGGCUUUUGUCUUUUGUUUUCACUUUUAAGACAUGCUGAAUGAUUGAGAUAUAGCCCAGGCUGGCCUUGAAUUCUCCAUCCUCCUGCUGUAGCCUCCCAAGUACUGAGAUUACAGACAUGAGCCAUCACAUCUCUCGUCUCCCGUAGUCUUUUUAUUCUUCAGGUUCGGAGGUCACAAAACACAGAGGAUAUGUUUUAAAGAGAAUUUUGUCAGGCAUGGUGAUUCAAGGCCAGACCUAGGCUUACCGUGUCCCCUUCUCAAAAAUUAAAAUAAAAUAAUCAAAGCA
Molecule: long non-coding RNA, 2024 nt
Organism: Mastomys coucha (southern multimammate mouse)
Lineage: Eukaryota; Metazoa; Chordata; Mammalia; Rodentia; Muridae
Exons: 2
Source: RefSeq, a predicted model, not a curated record